AUGCCCUCUUUCCAUCCUGUCUUCCUCCCAGACAGCAUUCCUUGUUGGAAUUAGUCCUUCACAUUCUAAAUACUCAGUAUAUGCUCAUUCGCAUAUAGUAGGCAUAGAGACUAUGCAUCUGCCUCCUGCCUACUCCAGGCUCUUCCCUCCAACAGUUGUGAGUGUAGGUCCCAUCCUGGAGUUUGCUGGCGUGGCGGCAGGGGGAGGUUGCUGUGGUGAUGGUGGGAGGUAUGUCUUUGGGUGUUGUGUGCACGGCCCUGAAGCUGAUCUCCACCCUUCCUCUCCCCUGCUCACCCCAGCCUGGCAGUCUCUGUGAAGAUGAAUGUGCUGCUCUUCGCCCCUGGGUUACUGUUUCUUCUCCUCACACAGUUUGGCUUCCGUGGGGCCCUCCCCAAGCUGGGCAUCUGUGCUGGCCUUCAGGUGGUGCUGGGGCUGCCCUUCCUGCUGGAGAACCCCAUCGGCUACCUGUCCCGCUCCUUUGACCUUGGCCGCCAGUUUCUGUUCCGCUGGACAGUGAACUGGCGCUUCCUCCCAGAGGCUCUCUUCCUGCAUCGAGCCUUCCACCUGGCCCUGUUGACUGCCCACCUCACCCUGCUCCUGCUGUUUGCCCUCUGCAGGUGGCACAGGACAGGGGAAAGUAUCUUGUCGCUGCUGAGGGAUCCCUCCAAAAGGAAGGUUCCACCCCAGCCCCUUACACCCAACC
This 703-nucleotide small RNA is filed under the name Pongo abelii (Sumatran orangutan). RNAcentral's name for it is "retained intron". Lineage: Eukaryota; Metazoa; Chordata; Mammalia; Primates; Hominidae. The record is from RNAcentral.